This 472-nucleotide ribosomal RNA is filed under the name Menticirrhus littoralis (Gulf kingcroaker). RNAcentral's name for it is "partial 16S ribosomal RNA". It matches the Rfam family "Bacterial large subunit ribosomal RNA", at positions 1924 to 2551 of the family's 2925-position model. The record is from RNAcentral. Lineage: Eukaryota; Metazoa; Chordata; Actinopteri; Sciaenidae.
UCAACGGCCGCGGUAUUUUAACCGUGCAAAGGUAGCGAAAUCACUUGUCUUUUAAAUGAAGACCAGUAUGAAAGGCAACACGAGGGCUUGACUGUCUCCCCUUUCAAGUCAAUGAAAUUGAUCUUCCCGUGCAGAAGCGGGAAUUCCUCCAUAAGACGAGAAGACCCUAUGGAGCUUUAGACACCAAGGCAGGCCACGUCAAAACUCCCUUAAAAAGGACCAAACUAGUGUACCCUGGUCCCGAUGUCUUUGGUUGGGGCGACCGCGGGGAAGCACAUAACCCCCGCGUGGAAUGGAAGCACUCUCCUACAAAUGAGAGCUCCCACUCUAGUGAACAGAAUUUCUGACCUACAAGAUCCGGCAACGCCGAUUAACGAACCGAGUUACCCUAGGGAUAACAGCGCAAUCCUCUCUUAGAGCCCAUAUCGACGAGAGGGUUUACGACCUCGAUGUUGGAUCAGGGCAUCCUAAU